AGAAGCUAGGUUUGUUCCUUGCUUAGAGGGUAGGAAACUGGCGUGAAUCAUCAGAGGGGCAGUUUCACAUAAGGGUAGCAUUAGAAUGUUAUGGUAGAGGCUGUGGGAAGAUGGGAGUGUUUUAGACUUCCAACAUGAUGCAAUCAUCAGUAUCACCUGGGCGUUUUUUAGAAAAGGCCAACUCGGGCCCCUCAGAACUCCUGAAUCAGAUCCUGCAUUUUGACAGUAUUCCCAAGUCUUGUUAAAAUUUGAUUACUGCUGUAGGCACUAUUCUCUCUAAAUCUCCCCUCCCCGUCCCCUUUUAUUCAUAUUGAAACUGUUAACGUGCAGUUUAGGAAAGAGGAUAAUGUGGGAGUCCCUAUUAAAAUUUGAAAUGUACAAAUCCUGUAACCCAUUGAUUGUGCGACUCAGAAUCACACCAGAGAAACAAGUAAAUGUGUGCUGGUUAUUGUUUCUUGUCCACGCAGUCACCCUUUUAUACUCAACUCCAUGUUACUGGGGGGGCUUCUGCUAGAUUCCACCAACAGGACGAACAAGAGGGAAACAAAGGCAAGAGGAAGAAGGGACUUGCUCCAUUCUGUAAGCAUCAUGCCAGCAGCAGCUGCAUUUUACCGUGGCAGGAGCAAUUGCUUUAGCCAAAAGGUGGUUUUAAUCUCUAUCCUUUUUCCAACAAUCACAGAAUCAGCCUUAUUGCACCCCUCAGAGAUCACAGCAGCAGUCAGUGCUCUCCUCAGAGAUCUGAAUUCUACUUUCAUGCGGCCCCUCCCCUGAGCUCCUGAGAUAGCCAAUGUUUGAGCCACCUCCUCAGAAGUUUGAGCCUCAACACCGUGGGAUCCCUUCUUUGUGCUCCAGAGAUCCAGUAACAGCCAGCCAUCACCCUCUCUUCAUUCUUCAUAGGCCUGAACUAAGGUGUUCAGGGCCCUCCUUCAAGCUUUUAGGUUCUGAUGACUCCAACCACUUCUUUUGUUCCAUCCUUUCCUAGCUCUAGGAAUGGUAGCUGCUACCUGCAGUGAUUACCUGUUACCUUUUAUAAUUCCUUUUGACCAAUUUCCCAUAUUAAAAUAUUUCUCAAUAACUAAUGUGAUUUCUGUUUUCCUGACUGGACCCUGAUUUUAAAAUGCACACAAAAGCCAGGUGCAGUGGCUUAUGCCUGUAAUCCCACCACUGUGGGAGGCCGAGGCAGGUGGAUCACCUGAAGUCAGGAGUUCGAGACCAGCCUGGCCAACAUGGCAAAAACCCAUCGCUACUAAAAAUACGAAAAUUAGCUGGGCAGUGGUGGCAGGUGCCUGCAAUCCCAGCUACUUGGAAGGCUGAGGC
RNAcentral lists this long non-coding RNA (1317 nucleotides) under Homo sapiens (human). RNAcentral's name for it is "non-protein coding lnc-USP16-1:4". The record is from RNAcentral. Lineage: Eukaryota; Metazoa; Chordata; Mammalia; Primates; Hominidae.